AGCAAUUGACGCGAAUCGCGGGAAAAGCAAAUUGCUGGAAACGCAGAGCUGUAGUGGCGGAGCUUGCACAACACUUCCCCAGACGACACUUGCCAAAUGAAAAUGAACUCCGCCCCGAUUGCGGCCAAUUGCCGACCAUCUGGGGACCACACAGGCCGCACUAGCGGACUUCCGGAAACCGCUUCCAACAGCCUGGGUGCUUCCCCAGCGCGGUGCCGCCAAACGAAUGCUAAGCCAUCUUCUGUCGUGAAUCCUACACGAUGACCGUCGGGCGAGACGGCCGCUCCGAUCGGGUGGAGAUGACGCAGAUUUGCGCUGACAGUGCGGC
Molecule: unclassified non-coding RNA, 328 nt
Filed under: uncultured bacterium
Lineage: Bacteria
Description: contains 16S-23S intergenic spacer region
Source: RNAcentral